CCUUUGAAUGAUGGUUCUUGGAGUUCUUGAACUAGGAACUUGGAAUCUUGAAUAAAUUUGCAGAAUUAAUGGUGAACUUUAGAGGUUCUUGAAGUUGGAUGUAGGAGCUUAGGGUUUUCUUUUUGAGGGAAUUUGAUGAAAUAUAACAUAUAAUACUUCUAAUAGGCUUUAAUAUAAGGUUUGGACGGAUUUUGGGUGAGGGGGA
RNAcentral lists this long non-coding RNA (205 nucleotides) under Capsicum annuum. RNAcentral's name for it is "long non-coding RNA (CANN_LNC005297)". Lineage: Eukaryota; Viridiplantae; Streptophyta; Magnoliopsida; Solanales; Solanaceae. The record is from RNAcentral.